RNAcentral lists this ribosomal RNA (392 nucleotides) under uncultured bacterium. RNAcentral's name for it is "bacterial SSU rRNA". It matches the Rfam family "Bacterial small subunit ribosomal RNA", at positions 494 to 886 of the family's 1533-position model. The record is from RNAcentral.
AGACGCACUCGUGUCAGCAGCCGCGGUGAUACGAAGGGGGCUAGCGUUGUUCGGAAUUACUGGGCGUAAAGCGCACGUAGGCGGAUAUUUAAGUCAGGGGUGAAAUCCCAGAGCUCAACUCUGGAACUGCCUUUGAUACUGGGUAUCUUGAGUAUGGAAGAGGUAAGUGGAAUUGCGAGUGUAGAGGUGAAAUUCGUAGAUAUUCGCAGGAACACCAGUGGCGAAGGCGGCUUACUGGUCCAUUACUGACGCUGAGGUGCGAAAGCGUGGGGAGCAAANAGGAUUAGAUACCCUGGUAGUCCACGCCGUAAAACGAUGAAUGUUAGCCGUCGGGCAGUCUACUGUUCGGUGGCGCAGCUAACGCAUUAAACAUUCCGCCUGGGGAGUACGGU